This is a long non-coding RNA of Galeopterus variegatus (Sunda flying lemur), 528 nucleotides long. RefSeq lists it as uncharacterized. The transcript is spliced from 3 exons. The record is from RefSeq and is a predicted model, not a curated record. Lineage: Eukaryota; Metazoa; Chordata; Mammalia; Dermoptera; Cynocephalidae.
CCUCACUCCCUUGCAGGCUGCAGAACCUUGCCUGAGAGUGCUUCCAUUAAAGCUUGCCUCAAGCCCUUUGCCUGGUGCCACCACCGAUUUGCCAAAACCUGGGAGGAGGUUGAGGCCACACUCCAGCGGGAGGCCUCCCUCCUCUCGUUACCAGGACCACAUCUGAGCCCCUCGCCUCAUGACACCAGGGUAUCGACACACCCUUGUCCUCAAUGCCGGAGGAUGGGCCACUGGAGAUCUGACUGCCCCGACAUCAGAGGGUCCCCAGCACCUCCAUGUGGAGGAAACUCUGAGCCAGUAAGUCCUGCCUUCCAUCUCCUUGGCCUGGAUAACAACUGACAGGGCCCCAAAUCGGAAACCCCUCUCACCCACGCCAAGACAGGGUCGUGCUCCAGGUAGCAGAUAGAGGUGGCACCUGCACGUUCCUGACAGAAGAAUGCUGUUACUACGUCAAUGAAACAACCCCUACGAUGCCUCUUACUCAGCAGCAAGUAGCCAGAUCUGAGUCGUCGCCCUAUAACAACAAAA